This 253-nucleotide ribosomal RNA is filed under the name uncultured bacterium. RNAcentral describes it as "partial 16S ribosomal RNA". It matches the Rfam family "Bacterial small subunit ribosomal RNA", at positions 524 to 776 of the family's 1533-position model. The record is from RNAcentral.
UACGAAGGGAGCUAGCGUUGUUCGGAAUCACUGGGCGUAAAGCGCGCGUAGGCGGCGAUACAAGUCAGAGGUGAAAUACCUGGGCUCAACCCAGGAACUGCCUUUGAAACUGUAUUGCUUGAGUGUCGGAGGGGAUAGCGGAAUUUCUAAUGUAGCGGUGAAAUGCGUAGAUAUUAGAAGGAACACCGAUGGCGAAGGCAGCUAUCUGGACGACAACUGACGCUGAGGCGCGAAAGCGUGGGGAUCAAACAGG